This 253-nucleotide ribosomal RNA is filed under the name uncultured bacterium. RNAcentral's name for it is "partial 16S ribosomal RNA". It matches the Rfam family "Bacterial small subunit ribosomal RNA", at positions 524 to 776 of the family's 1533-position model. The record is from RNAcentral.
UACGUAGGGUGCAAGCGUUGUCCGGAAUUAUUGGGCGUAAAGAGCUCGUAGGCGGUUUGUCGCGUCCGCUGUGAAGACUCAGGGCUUAACCCUGAGCCUGCAGUGGGUACGGGCAGACUAGAGUGUGGUAGGGGAGAUCGGAAUUCCUGGUGUAGCGGUGGAAUGCGCAGAUAUCAGGAGGAACACCGGUGGCGAAGGCGGAUCUCUGGGCCAUGACUGACGCUGAGGAGCGAAAGCAUGGGGAGCGAACAGG